CGACGGUGAGUAACACGUAUGCAAUCCACCUGUAACAGGGGAGUAACCCGGAGAAAUCCGACUAAUACCCAUAAUAUGGGCGCUCCGCAUGGAGAGUCCAUUAAAGAGAGCAAUCUUGGUUACAGACGAGCAUGCGCUCCAUUAGCCAGUUGGCGGGGUAACGGCCCACCAAGGCGACGAUGGAUAGGGGUUCUGAGAGGAAGGUCCCCCACAUUGGAACUGAGACACGGUCCAA
This 235-nucleotide ribosomal RNA is filed under the name uncultured bacterium. RNAcentral describes it as "partial 16S ribosomal RNA". It matches the Rfam family "Bacterial small subunit ribosomal RNA", at positions 105 to 334 of the family's 1533-position model. The record is from RNAcentral.